Molecule: ribosomal RNA, 510 nt
Filed under: uncultured bacterium
Lineage: Bacteria
Description: bacterial SSU rRNA
Rfam family: Bacterial small subunit ribosomal RNA
Source: RNAcentral
CUGGCGGCGUGCCUAAUACAUGCAAGUCGAACGGCGUUUCUAUGGAAGCUUGCUCCACUGAGAAGAUAGUGGCGGACGGGUGAGUAACACGUGGGUAACCUGCCCAUAAGAGGGGGAGUAACAUCCGGAAACGGGUGCUAAUACCGCAUAGUUUUCUUGAUCGCAUGAUUGAGAAAGGAAAGACGGCCUUUGUGCUGUCGCUUAUGGAUGGACCCGCGGCGUAUUAGUUAGUUGGUGAGGUAAUGGCUCACCAAGACGAUGAUACGUAGCCGACCUGAGAGGGUGAUCGGCCACAUUGGGACUGAGACACGGCCCAAACUCCUACGGGAGGCAGCAGUAGGGAAUCUUCCGCAAUGGACGAAAGUCUGACGGAGCAACGCCGCGUGAGUGAAGAAAAGGUUUUCGGAUCGUAAAACUCUGUUGUCAGAGAAGAACAAGUCGGAGAGUAACUGCUCCAGCCUUGACGGUAUCUGACCAGAAAGCCACGGCUAACUACGUGCCAGCCGCCGC